Molecule: ribosomal RNA, 297 nt
Filed under: uncultured Pseudomonadota bacterium
Lineage: Bacteria; Pseudomonadati; Pseudomonadota
Description: uncultured proteobacterium partial 16S ribosomal RNA
Rfam family: Bacterial small subunit ribosomal RNA
Source: RNAcentral
AACGAACGCUGGCGGCAGGCCUAACACAUGCAAGUCGAACGCUUGUAGCAAUACGAGAGUGGCAGACGGGUGCGUAACGCGUGGGAACAUACCCUUUGGUUCGGAAUAACUCAGGGAAACUUGAGCUAAUACCGGAUACGCCCGAGAGGGGAAAGAUUUAUUGCCGAAGGAUUGGCCCGCGUCUGAUUAGCUAGUUGGUGAGGUAACGGCUCACCAAGGCGACGAUCAGUAGCUGGUCUGAGAGGAUGAUCAGCCACACUGGGACUGAGACACGGCCCAGACUCCUACGGGUGGCUG